This is a long non-coding RNA of Populus nigra (black poplar), 2191 nucleotides long. RefSeq lists it as uncharacterized. Lineage: Eukaryota; Viridiplantae; Streptophyta; Magnoliopsida; Malpighiales; Salicaceae. The record is from RefSeq and is a predicted model, not a curated record. The transcript has 2 exons.
GCUAGGCCAAAGCAACUCAAACUUGCUUCAUGAAUUGUUUGCUGAACACAAAACGUGGCAUUGCAGUUUACACAAUUUUUUAAUUUUAUAUUGUCGAAAAUAACCCUUUGGUUUUCUCCUCUCAUCGUUCUUUCUCUGCUCUCUCUACUGUUCUUUCCUCCCUCCAAUCUCUCACAGACCUCACACAUUCACUUUUUUUGGAGCCGAUUGGAGAUCCAAAAACCUUUGGGAAUAAUUGAAGUCUGUCAACAGAUCAUUCGGGGUAAAAAAGACUACUAAUUUCCAACUCAAAUCCCCGGCCUAAACUCAAACCAGACACCAUAUCUGCUGCUUCCUUCAAGCCUUUUCGUGGUGAUGAUGCUUCUUCAAAACCUAGAAAUAGUUGAAGACACGCUGAAAUUAUUAUGAAUUUCAAGGAACCAAAGAUCUAACAUCUUUGUCUCUUGAAAAGAACAACAAACUCCCGAUUUGUGUUGAGACACAUCUAACACUACAGAACACGCUGAAAUUAAUGAUGAUGCUCAAGGUAAUGUUCUUGAUAAUAUAUUUCAACAUCUUUAUGUAACUCAAAUUCCCAAUAUCUACAUAUAUCAUUCCCAUCUUCUUCGUAUUACAAUUUUUUGGCGUUUUGUUUUCUGUCAGGAGCUAAAAAGGGCUUAAUAAUCUGUCUUCUAGAAAAUACAACAAACACUCGAUCUUUGUUUUUUUUCUUCAGGUUACAUGUUUUAAUGUUUAGAUAUAACUGGGAAAAAAUUGAAGCCAUGUCCUUAUGUAUUUCUAAUGCACUACCACUAUAUAUGUCAAUAUUUGCAUUUUCUAAGUUCAAAUUUUUUAAAGGUUUAGAAUUUUUUUGUUUGUAAUAUUAUAAAUUGUGUGCUACUUUAACGUGGGAUCAAUCAACAUCUUAUGAAUAAAUGAACUUGAUUAUAUGCUUAAUGAUUUGGUUUUCUUAUUCUGUAAUUUUUUUAUAAACUUGUAUGGGUUUCUUUUAAUUGUUUUUUUUACAAACUUGGUUCAGUGCAUGUUUGUUAUGUCUUUGUUGCAUUGAGUGCUAUAAUAUCAAUCUUUUUUUUUAAGUUGCAUGUUUUAAGGUUGAGAUAUAACCGGGAAACAAUUGAAGUCAUGUUCUUAUGCAUGUACUGCCACUGUAUAUGUAAAUAUUUGCAUUUUCAAAGUUACAUGUUUUAAGGCUUAGAUUUUUAUUAUUUGUAAUAUUAUAAAUUGUGUGUUGCUUUAAGUGGGAUCAAGCAACAUCUUAUUAAUAACUGAACUUAAUUAUAUGCUUAAUGAUUUGGUUUUCUUAUUUUGGAACUCUUUUUUCUUAACUUGCAUGGUUUUUUUUUUAAUUGUUGUUUUGAGAAACUUGGUUCAGUCUUGUCUGUUAUUUCUUUGUUGCAUUGAGUGUUAUAAUAUCACUUUAUUUGUUAUUAAUGUUAUAUUUAUUUCAUCAACUAUAUCAAACACCUUAUGUUGUCAAGUAGUCAUUAGUCAUUGCUGCUUUCACAUAUCAAAACUACAACUCAUUAUCACAACAAACUUAUGUGUUGUCAACGUCUUUUAUUACAUUGCUUCUAGAAAAUUAACCUAUUAAUUAUAUGUUAGAAAAAACAUUUUAACCGAGAAUAUUGAAGAUUCUCAAUAACAAGAUAAGGCUUGUUGAACUAGAGAGAUGUUGAACACAUUUUAUAACAUUUAUAUCAAAGUAAUUGAGAAAGGUAUGCGAUCAAACAUACAUUUCGACAAAGCUAGUUAGAAAUAUGUUAUGAAUUGCUUUAAGGAGCAAAUUGGACAUGCAUUAACGAAAGCACAAUUAAAAAAUAAGUGAGAUGGAAUAAAAAAGGAUUGGAGAAUAUGGAAAAAGUUGAUUUCUAAAACUGGAGUAAACUGGAGUACUAAAUUUGAAACAAUUUCGACAAUUGACGAGUGGUGGAAAUCUAAAAUCAAGGUCUGUUUUUUGUUUCUGUUUGUAUACAAUUACUAUGAACUGUUUUAUUUUUUGUUCUUACAAUCAUUAUGAUUCAUUUAUAUCUUUAGUUUCCCUUGUUGUAGGAGAUAUGAGGAGUUAGAAAGUUUAGGCAUUCUGGUAUUAAUCCCGCAUUGUGUUGUAUGUUAGUUAGAAGAAACUAUAUUAUAUUUGUUUUAACUACAAAUUUUGACAGUAAGUUGAAGAAUAAAUAUGAGUUUUUAUUUU